RNAcentral lists this long non-coding RNA (318 nucleotides) under Homo sapiens (human). RNAcentral's name for it is "non-protein coding lnc-COL21A1-7:1". Lineage: Eukaryota; Metazoa; Chordata; Mammalia; Primates; Hominidae. The record is from RNAcentral.
AGGUGGGGAAGGCAUUGGUGCAAAUGUGAGUAUUGAUUUUUCCACACCGGAAGCUGUUGAUUCAGUAAUGACCAAUUGACUGCAUUUAUUGAUAAUGAUUUUUGCAGUUUUUGAAUGUUGAAUAUAUUUUAAAGAAUUUGAGUUAAUAUGCUGUUUGAUGAAUUGAUAUUCUAUGUAUUUCAUGACAUUAUUCUACCAUUAAAUUUAAAGUAUAACUCAUUAAAACUUUUGUGUCAUAAAUAAAAGAGGCUAUUUAUAGUUACCGAUCAUCUUAUAAAUAAAAGGUUUAACUUUCUGAAAUUUAGAGUUUUCCAUUUU